CAAUAGCGUAUAUUUAAGUUGUUGCAGUUAAAAAGCUCGCAGUUGGAUUUCUGCUGAUCGCUGUCGGUCUGCCGUCAGGUGUGUACUGGCAGUGUUUGGCAUCUAUUCGAGAUUGGGUGUCCACUUGAUUGUGUGCACUCGAUGUCGGAGCUAAUACUUUGAGAAAAUUAGAGUGUUCCACGCAGGCGCGUGCCUUGAAUACUGCAGCAUGGGAUAUUGGAAGGCCGAUUGAGCUUUCUUGUUGGUUCUCGGUUUGAUCGGAAUGAUUAAUAGGGAUAGUUGGGGGCAUUCGUAUUCAACUGUCAGAGGUGAAAUUCUUGGAUUUGUUGAAGACGGACUACUGCGAAAGCAUCUGCCAUGGAUGUUCUCAUUGA
RNAcentral lists this ribosomal RNA (374 nucleotides) under uncultured eukaryote. RNAcentral's name for it is "partial 18S ribosomal RNA". It matches the Rfam family "Eukaryotic small subunit ribosomal RNA", at positions 592 to 976 of the family's 1831-position model. The record is from RNAcentral.